CCCAGAAUGCUGUAUUCUACAAAGCAAAAACCAAUGAGAAUAUUUUCACAAGGCACAAAUCAGUUACGUUUAAGCAAGGCAUUUAUUCAGACAAAUAAAGCUUAACUAAAUAAAGCCUUGUAUAAAUAAGCAAAGCCUUGUAGGAAGUCUAAAGUGCAUACAAGACAAAUAAUCUUCUGACAUUUCAGCUUUGUGUGUGUGGUGUGUGUUUGUGUUGACCAAUCAUUGCAAGCCAAUGAUUGGCUUGUUAAAACAUGUGACACCGUUUUUCCAGCUAAUAUAGCAGGGCUGAAGGCUGAGAGCAGAAGCCCUGGAAGCUGUCAGAGAGGAGCCAUGGACACUGUCUCUGAACCGGACCCUGGACUCACUAUGGAACCUGAGGACAAGUCUUUGGACCCGAGGAAGACCAGCCACAGAAGAUUUGGUUCAGUGAUGCCCACGGAGGAGGAGGAGGACGCACCCAGCAUCACAGAGUUCCACUCCUCUACCCACGUGUUGCCCGUGGGCCAAACGGCCCGCUACACCUGCCACGCCGGCGGCACGCCGGAGCCCACAGUAGAGUGGCUCCACAACGGCAGGCCCCUGGAGAGGGACGGCACAGUCGACCAAUCAGAGGCCUGGGUGGAGAGGGGCUUCCUCUUCGUCAGAGGUGGGAGGUACGGCGUGAACACGGUCUGCUGCAUGGCGAGCAACAGCGCUGGCACGGCCAAUCACAGCGCUGAGCUGCUUGUCUUUGAUGCCUGUGACCUCACACUGGACCCCAACACGGCCCACAGACGACUCUCUCUGUCUGAGGACAACAGGAAGGUGACGAAGUUUGGAGAGGACCAGUCGUAUCCGGAUCACCAGAAAGAUUGACUCCUGGGCCCAGGUGUUGGGUAGAGAGGCUCUGACUGGCCGCUGUUACUGGGAGGUAGAGUGGGAAGGACAUGUUGAGAUAGGAGUGACAUACAGAGGAAUCACAAGGAGAGGAGUGGGUGGUGACAGCAGGCUUGGAUGGAACAACAAGUCCUGGGUUCUUUAUUGUUCUGAUGGUGGUUACUCUGCCCGGUACAACGGUACAGAGACAGCCCUCCCUCUCCGCCCCGCUGGCUCCACCAGAGUAGGAGUGUAUCUGGACCGGCCUGCUGGCUCUCUGUCCUUCUACAGAGUGUCCCCAGGUGGAGGAGGGUCCUCAGACACACUGACACACCUCCACACCUUCUGGUCCUCCUUCACCCAGGAGGACCUCCUCCCGGGGGUGGGGGUAUGGGGGGGGGUCCUCAGCGUCUCUGUGUCGGUUGUAGAUUUUUUUUUUUGGCCGAUUAGGGAGCAGGAGCCCCAGCAGGAGGGGGAGCCCCCCCAGUUCACGUCAUCACGUUCUGGGGGGGCAGCGUCUCUGUGAUCCCUCAGUUGUAGAAAAAUGGGGGGGGGUCAGCGGGGUGCCUCAUAUUCAGUGUCCGCCCCGGCAGACGCACACACACACACACACACACACACACACACACACACACACACACACACACACACACACACACACUGAGAGGACUGAUGACUGUCUCUGUGGCAGUUAUAGUCUCUCUCUCACAAAACACACACACACACACACAUACACACGUACACAAAAAACACACACACACGCGCACACACACAAAAACACACAUACACACAAAAACACGCACACGCAUGCAUGCGCGAGCGCGCAUGCACACACACACUGACUGAGAGGACUGAUGACUGUGGCAGUCAUAGUUAUAGUCUCUCUCUCUCUCUCUCUCUCUCUCUCUCUCUCUCUCUCUCUCUCUCUCUCUCUCUCUCUCUCUCUCUCUCUCUCUCUCUCUCUCUCUCUCUCUAUCUCCCAUAGUUAGAUAAGCACAUUUUUUAUGGUAAUUGGAUAUCAAAUACAUUGAUGGUAAAUCUUUUUAUAUUUUCAGACUUCACCAGUUUAAGUCUUAAUGUCUCUGAUAUGAUUUUUGUCAUAAUCCUGAUUUGCGACCAGAUUUAAAGCAGAUGUUAUUUUGUAUUCAUAAUAACCGAGAUGUCUAUGGGAUAAUGUUGCAUGUUGUAAAUGACUUUAAACUGAAUCUUGAUUUUUUGUGUUCUGUUGGGAACCAAGCGGCCGCAGAACAUGUUCAGUUAUUAAAGAUACGUGCUCACCUGUAGAUGAUUUGUAAAGUCUGCUGCUUCUAUUGUUUUAGUCCUCGUGUUUAUUGUGUUCAUGUAAGGGACUAUUUUUCUGUCUUAUUUGUUAAUGAAGCAUAAUUGUAAUAAACAACUCAGUGGAUCCAACUGAAUGUUCUCGCAGAUGAUUUCUCGUUUUAUUAGUGAAUAAUAAGUCCAUAAAAGCCUUAUGAAAAAUUAUAAAUGGAACAAAAAAUGUUUGUUCUAGACCGAUAUUAUUCUUGGACCUUCUCGCUGGGUUUUGGUUGGGGGGGGGGGCUCAGUCUCUCUGUGUCGGUUGUAGAAAGAAACCACAGACAGACGGCCGGAUACUCUCUCUCUCUCUCUCUCUCUCUCUCUCUCUCUCUCUCUCUCUCUCUCUCUCUCUCUCUCUCUCUCUCUCUCUCUCUCUCCCAGUCUCUAUUAUUUUGCAAUUGUUCAAUUAAAGGCUGUAGAUAAAACACAAUGAGAUAGACUACAUGUCUCGUAUGUGCCAUCACGCUCCCGUAACUAGCGUGGACAAGGCCGCCAAUCUCCCCACCGGCUUAACUGAAACUCUCCACAUGCCCAAACUCAUAAUGGUGUUCACCUCUUUUGAUGCUUGUAUCCUCCCCUUGGAAAAAACCUAACAGUAUCAAACUUCUUCACGAAAAUGUUUAGUUUUCUUUGCAUGAAAAAUUAUCAUUUAAAUCCACAAACAUCAUAUGUGUAACCCGGGGCAUAUAAAGACUGGGACCAGACAAUAAUUACUUUCUCUCCAUUGAAACCCAUUCAUAUUCUCCGAUCUCAUAGGUCCCAUGGGCUCUACCGGAAGGGGCGUGGCUUCGCCACUCUGUAGGUCCAUGACUAGCCCUAGGCUAACGUCUUGCCCAACACUUUACCCGGGAUAACGUCAAACUGUUGCCGUGUUAACGGGACUAAACACCAACCGCCGCAGUGUGGGCAGCUGGGGCUGGGGGAGGGCUGCGGGGGGACGGGGCGCGCCACCCCUCCUCGUCCCAGCCGCCGGCGUGGCCGUCGACGGGCCAGACGUCGGAGGGCGGCGGAGGACGGGGUCCCCGAACGGCGCUCCAACGGCCCCCUACGACGGAUCAGGUGGGGGCCCCGAAGGAGGUGGUCCCCGACCACACCCCCAGGGCUCCUGCUGACUCUGGGGUCUGGCAGACGAGGGCCUUCGCUAAGGAUUCUGGGGGUUCUCCUGUUCUAGGGGGCGGGACCGUUUCGGGGCCCUCCUGGGUCAUUUGUGGUUGGUAAACUAAUCAGGGUUCAUGGGUUGGGGUUUAUCGAUGUCGGGGUGUGUUGGUGACUCUUGUGUUCAUGUUGUGUUCAUUGCACCAUUACUGAAAGUGUUAGUGUGGUUGAAUGGUGGCGUGUGUUCUAGUGUGUACCGUGCUGGUGUUAUUAAAGGCAGCUCCGUUGUCCAGCGGUGUAUGGGGCGCGGAGCUGCGGCCGACUGCUAAACCUGGGCUCCCGUCUCGUCCUUCACCUGCUGCUCACCACAAUAUGAUUGUUGAAGUUAAACGGAUUGAAUUAUGGAACAUGAUUGUCUAGUGGGCUCAUGUUUAAAAGGAUUAUGGUG
This is a long non-coding RNA of Gadus morhua (Atlantic cod), 3718 nucleotides long. The record is from Ensembl. Lineage: Eukaryota; Metazoa; Chordata; Actinopteri; Gadiformes; Gadidae.